GAACAUUUUCUUAAACCGGUUUAGCAUCAAAUCAAGUAGGACCUACUCCGGUGACCUCAGACGAACAUUCGUGUAAAAAAUGGAUUGAAAUGGACAAUCAUAAAAUUUUGGGCUAUGGACUUAUUGAAGACAACUGUAUGGAGAUAAACAGAAACACAGAGGUACUAUACAUUCUGAUGGAAAAGACAACAAAAGCAUCUCCCAUCAUUUUGGCGUGGCUCAGAUCAAGAGGAGAAAUUUAAAAAAGGUGAUGGUUGGGCACACACAAGAAGACAUAGAUCACAGGCGUCUAGCCAUAUGAGUAGACAGGAGUUUCACAUUCUGCCAGACUUACUUCCUCAGACGAG
Molecule: long non-coding RNA, 347 nt
Organism: Mya arenaria
Lineage: Eukaryota; Metazoa; Mollusca; Bivalvia; Myida; Myidae
Exons: 3
Source: RefSeq, a predicted model, not a curated record